AGCGUGCGGCAUGCUUACCAUGCAGUCGAACGGCAGCGCGGGGCAACCUGGCGGCGAGUGGCGAACGGGUGAGUAAUAUAUCGGAACGUACCCUGGAGUGGGGGAUAACGUAGCGAAAGUUACGCUAAUACCGCAUACGAUCUAAGGAUGAAAGUGGGGGAUUCGCAGGGACCUCGUGCUCGUGGAGCGCCCGAUAUCUGAUUAUCUAUGUGGUAGGAAAAAACCCUACCGGGGUCUCUAUCAAUAUGUGGUCAGAGAAGAACACCACCCACUGUGGAUGUGACACACGCCCCACACUCCUACGGGAGGCAGCAGUGGAAAUUUUUGGACAGUGGGCGCAAGCCUGAUCCAACUGUGCCGCGAGAGUGAAAAAGGUCUUCGGUGUGUAGAUCUCUUUUGUCGGGAAAAAAACGGUUUUUUCUAAUACAGAUAUCUAGUGACGGUACCUGAAAAAUAAACCCCGGAUAUCUACGUGCCAACACCCGCGAUAAUACAUAGGGUGCACGCGUUACUCAAAUUUAGUGGGCGUAGAGCGUGCGCACGCGUUUUUGUAACAGUGUCGUGAACUCCCCGGUCUCACUCUGAAAGUGGAUAUGGAGAGUGCAGCGCUAGAUUUUGACAGAGGGGUAUAAAUUUCCGCGUGUAACAGUGAAGUGCAUAUAUAUGUGGAAGAACACCUAUGGAGAGCGCACCCCUGUGUCUCAAAUGUGACUCUCGUGCAAGAGAGCGUGGAGAGCACACAAGAAUAUAUACUGUGAUACUCCACGCUCUACAAUAUGUCUACUAUGUGUCGGUUUUUAUUUAUCUUGAUCACGCAUAUAACGCGAGAAAUACACCGUGUGAGAGUACUCUCACGAUAUUAACUCUCAGAAGAAUUGACGGACACCCGCACGAGCUGUGGAUGAUGUGUAUUAUCUCUAUGCACGCGAAAAUCUUAUCUACUUGUGAUGUGACAGAUCUCCUCGAGAUAUUGAGGAGUGCUCAAAGAGAAUCUGCACACAUGCUGCUGCAUGCUGUCGUCAUCUCGUGUCGAGAGAUGGUGUAUAGUCCGCAAGAGCGACACCCUUUGACUAUAUGUGCUAAGAAAGAACACUCAUAUGACACUGCCGGUGACAAACCCGGAGAGGUGGAGAUGACUAAGUCA
This 1144-nucleotide ribosomal RNA is filed under the name Duganella zoogloeoides. Its description in RNAcentral is "bacterial SSU rRNA". It matches the Rfam family "Bacterial small subunit ribosomal RNA", at positions 34 to 1192 of the family's 1533-position model. The record is from RNAcentral. Lineage: Bacteria; Pseudomonadati; Pseudomonadota; Betaproteobacteria; Burkholderiales; Oxalobacteraceae.